This 36-nucleotide small RNA is filed under the name Arabidopsis thaliana (thale cress). RNAcentral's name for it is "ATSL217540". The record is from RNAcentral. Lineage: Eukaryota; Viridiplantae; Streptophyta; Magnoliopsida; Brassicales; Brassicaceae.
CGAGAAAUUUGGAGAAGAAGAAGAAGAAGAGGAUUU